AGUGACAGUAUUUAUAUUUUACAAUACUGAGUAAAAUAUAUAUAUAUAUAUAUAUAUAUAAAUAUUUAUGUAAAAUAUAUAUAUAAAUUUCCAGAAAAAAAUAUUAAGCAGCACAACUGUUUUCAACAUUAAUGAUUAUAAGAACUGUUUCUUGAGCACCAAAUCAGGAUUUCUGAAGGAUCAUGUGACACUGAAGACUGGAGUAAUGAUGCUAAAAAUUCAGCUUUGAAUCACAGAAAUAAGUGACAUUUUACAAAUAUUUGAAAAUAUAUGUUAUUUUAAAUUGUAAUAAUAUUUUACAAUAUUGUUGUUUUACUGUAAUUUUCAUCAAAUAAAUGCAGCCUUGGUGAGAUUAGGAAAUGUAAAAAAAAAAAAAAAAAACUUUUUUUUCCCUCGAUCUAUGAAUGCAAUUAUAAAUGUCCUCCAAAAUAAGUAAACACAAUGACAUUCUUCUUAAUUUAAUGACUAAAAAUAAAAAAAAUAAAAAAACACCAUUACGGUAAUCUUAUUAUGUUAAUCUGUAAUAAAUGAAACCAAACGGGCUAGUCAACAGUGUUCAGGGCAAACCUGAUUUACUGGACAGAAUAAGCUCAAAAUGAGGCAGUUUCUAGCUGUCAUUUAGACAAUCGAGGCAAUUGUAUCCAAUCACAUUCCACUGCAUUACAGGCCACUGCACAUUUGGACAGUGUCCAGACGACGCUGUGAGACCUCAUGCUGGCUGGGAUGAUCGCUAACAUGCCAUCAGCAGAUCUCCACAGCCUGAAGGAGAAAUGCAGGAGACGCUGGACGGCUCUGGGUGCGGGACACACAUGGGAUGGCAGAUGCACCAGCAGGCAUUCUCCUGCUCGAUACGAUAACAUGCUGUUUCAUUCUGGAUGCUAGGGGGCAAUGCCAUGGCAUAUGUCUACGCAUAUCAGUGGAACCUAUCAGUGGAAAGAAUGGGCACUGCUUCAUGGAGACAGAACAUGCAUAUUCUUGUGCUUUUUGCUGUGUUUGAUAGCUGUACCAAAGACUGAGUGUCCCCUUGUGGACAUUUGAGGAAAUGCAUUUGGGUAGAUCAAGAUUUGAGGUCAGUAUUUACUCAAUUAUUCUCUUUACAGUUACUAUUUUCCACAAUUUAAAAUAAUGGUUAACAGUGGUAAUAGACGCAAUGGGUUGCAACUGUUGUUGAAUGGUUGGAAAGUAUUUGAGUCUCUAUUUAUAACUAACAAAAGCACAACAAAAAAGCUUAUUAGCAGGUAUGGAGUUAAUGCAAUCUUGCCUCAUCAGGGACUAAUUUACUUCCUAUCUUUUUGAAGGGCACACUUCAAUAAAUCAUUGUGUUAAAAUAGCUAAACUCUGUUC
This is a long non-coding RNA of Cyprinus carpio (common carp), 1344 nucleotides long. Lineage: Eukaryota; Metazoa; Chordata; Actinopteri; Cypriniformes; Cyprinidae. The record is from Ensembl.